Molecule: ribosomal RNA, 253 nt
Filed under: uncultured bacterium
Lineage: Bacteria
Description: partial 16S ribosomal RNA
Rfam family: Bacterial small subunit ribosomal RNA
Source: RNAcentral
CACGGGGGGGGCAAGCGUUGUUCGGAAUUACUGGGCGUAAAGGGCUCGUAGGCGGCCAACUAAGUCAGACGUGAAAUCCCUCGGCUUAACCGGGGAACUGCGUCUGAUACUGGAUGGCUUGAGUUUGGGAGAGGGAUGCGGAAUUCCAGGUGUAGCGGUGAAAUGCGUAGAUAUCUGGAGGAACACCGGUGGCGAAGGCGGCAUCCUGGACCAACACUGACGCUGAGGAGCGAAAGCCAGGGGAGCAAACGGG